RNAcentral lists this ribosomal RNA (237 nucleotides) under uncultured bacterium. RNAcentral describes it as "partial 16S ribosomal RNA". It matches the Rfam family "Bacterial small subunit ribosomal RNA", at positions 335 to 567 of the family's 1533-position model. The record is from RNAcentral.
ACCUACGGGCGCAGCAGUAGGGAAUCUUCCACAAUGGACGAAAGUCUGAUGGAGCAACGCCGCGUGAGUGAAGAAGGGUUUCGGCUCGGAAAGGUCUUUUGGUAGUGAAGAAAGAUAGAGGUAGUAACUGGCCUUUUUUUGACGGUAAUUACUUAGAAAGUCACGGCUAACUACGUGCCAGCAGCCGCGGUAAUACGUAGGUGGUAAGCGUUGUCCGGGUUUAUUGGGCGUAAAGCG